GAUGAACGCUAGCGGGAGGCCUAACACAUGCAAGCCGAGCGGUAUUUGUUCUUCGGAACAGAGAGAGCGGCGCACGGGUGCGGAACACGUGUGCAACCUGCCUUUAUCUGGGGGAUAGCCUUUCGAAAGGAAGAUUAAUACCCCAUAAUAUAUUGAGUGGCAUCAUUUGAUAUUGAAAACUCCGGUGGAUAGAGAUGGGCACGCGCAAGAUUAGAUAGUUGGUGAGGUAACGGCUCACCAAGUCAAUGAUCUUUAGGGGGCCUGAGAGGGUGAUCCCCCACACUGGUACUGAGACACGGACCAGACUCCUACGGGAGGCAGCAGUGAGGAAUAUUGGACAAUGGGUUAGCGCCUGAUCCAGCCAUCCCGCGUGAAGGACGACGGCCCUAUGGGUUGUAAACUUCUUUUGUAUAGGGAUAAACCUACCCUCGUGAGAGUAGCUGAAGGUACUAUACGAAUAAGCACCGGCUAACUCCGUG
This 479-nucleotide ribosomal RNA is filed under the name uncultured bacterium. RNAcentral's name for it is "partial 16S ribosomal RNA". It matches the Rfam family "Bacterial small subunit ribosomal RNA", at positions 28 to 507 of the family's 1533-position model. The record is from RNAcentral.